AUAUGGUCAAGCGAAGAAAUAGGUUUAUGGCGAAUGCCUAUGGAGCUGAGAGGCGAAGAAGGCCGUGGUAAGCUGCGAAAAGUUCCGUGUAGGAGCACACAUCCUGUGAUACGGAAAUAGCCGAAUGGGGUAACCCGUUAGUAGUGAUACUAACAUUACGCUCUUGAAUAAAAUAGAGAGGUAAAGCGAUACUGAGUGAACUGAACCAUCUAAGUAACUCAAGGAAAAGAAAUCAAAAGAGAUUCCGAAAGUAGCGGCGAGCGAAAUUGGAGGAGCCUAAACCCUUAUAGAGGGAGUUGAAGGGCUGCAUCGGCGUGGGACCGACAAGUGAUAAAUUCGAUUUAUAGCAGAAAGGUUUUGGGAAAGCCUGGCGAAGAGGGUGAAACCCCCGUAAGCGAAAUAAAUCGAACUUGUUGAUGCAGUACCUGAGUACGGCGGGGCACGAGGAAUCCUGUCGGAAAUCGGGUCGACCACGAUCCAAGGCUAAAUACUACUCAAGCUACCGAUAGUGAACAAGUACCGUGAGGGAAAGGUGAAAAGAACCCCAGUAAGGGGAGUGAAAUAGAACCUGAAACCGUAAACCAACAAGAUGUUACAGCCCCUUUAUGGGGUAGUAGCGUGCCUUUUGUAGAAUGAGCCUGCGAGUUACGAUAUGCAGCGAGGUUAAGGAAUAGUAGUUCCGGAGCCUAAGGGAAACCGAGUCUUAAUAGGGCGUAUCAGCGAAAGCUGAAGUUUAGUUGCAUGUCGUAGACCCGAAGCCGGAGUGAUCUAGUCAUGAGCAGGUUGAAGCAAGGGUAAAACCUUGUGGAGGACCGAACUAUAAUCUGUUAAAAAAGGUAUGGAUGACUUGUGACUAGGAGUGAAAGGCUAAUCAAACCCGGAAAUAGCUGGUUCUCCCCGAAAUGCCUUUAGGGACAGCCUCAUAUAAAAUUAUCGGAGGUAAAGCACUAGUUGGACUAGGGGGCGUCAAAGCCUACCAAACCCAGUUAAACUCUGAAUGCCGAUAAUCAACGUAUGGGAGUGAGACUGCGUGCGCUAAGGUUCGCAAGUCAAAAGGGAAACAGCCCAGACCGUCAGCUAAGGUCCCCAAAUACUGCUUGAGUGUGAAAUGAAGUGUGGAUACCUAGACAGCCAGGAGGUUGGCUUAGAAGCAGCAAUUCCUUUAAAGAGUGCGUAACAGCUCACUGGUCGAGUGUCCAUGCGCAGAUAAUGUAACGGGGCUAAGCAGUAUACCGAAGCUACGGGUCUUAUGCAUUUUUGAGCAUAAGGCGGUAGGGGAGCAUUCCAUUAACUGAUGAAGGCAUACUCGCGAGAGGUGCUGGAGGAAAUGGAAGAGAGAAUGCAGGUAUAAGUAACGAAAAGGGAGGUGAGAUCCCUCCCCGCCGAAAAUCUAAGGUUUCCUGGGUAAAGGUAAUCUUCCCAGGGUAAGUCGGCCCCUAAGGCGAGGACGAAGGUCGUAGUCGAUGGGAAAUCGGUUCAUAUUCCGAUACCUUUUAUAAUUUCGAUGGCAGGACGCAUGAGGUGAAACCCGGCCGGCUAACGGAUGCCGGUCAAAGUAAGCGAGCCGUUAAAAAGGAUGAAUAGGCAAAUCCGUCAUCCAAGGUAAGCUGCGACAGCGAGUGAAACUAAGGUGGAGCGAAGCGGGCGUAAUCAAGGUGCCGGGAAAUACUGUCUAAGGUUAGGUUAUAAAAGACCGUACCGUAAACCGACACAGGUAGAUGGGAUGAGAAAUCUAAGGCGCUCGAGAGAACUCGCGUUAAGGAAUUCGGCAAAAUGCACACGUAACUUCGGAAAAAGUGUGGCCUCCUUUUUUUAAAAGUUGAGGAGGCGGCAGAAAGCAGGCCCAGGCGACUGUUUAUCAAAAACACAGCCAUCUGCGAACCAGCAAUGGGACGUAUAGGUGGUGACACCUGCCCGGUGCCGGAAGGUUAAGAGGAGAGGUUAGCAGCAAUGUGAAGCUUUGAAUUGAAGCCCCGGUAAACGGCGGCCGUAACUAUAACGGUCCUAAGGUAGCGAAAUUCCUUGUCGGGUAAGUUCCGACCCGCACGAAUGGUGUAACGAUUCUGGGCACUGUCUCAACGCGAGACUCGGUGAAAUUUAUAUACCGGUAAAGAAGCCGGUUACCCAUAGUUAGACGGAAAGACCCCGUGAACCUUCACCGCAACUUAUUAUUGGGACUUGGUUUAUCAUGUGUAGAAUAGGUGGAAGGCUAUGAAGCUUGGCCGUUAGGUUGAGUGGAGCCGGCAAGUGAAAUACCACCCUUGAUAAAUCAGGUUUCUAACUCUUCCCGUGAAGCCGGGAUGGGGACAGUGAUAGGCAGGCGGUUUGACUGGGGCGGUCGCCUCCUAAAGAGUAACGGAGGUGCGCGAAGGUCUCCUCACGCCGGUUGGAAAUCGGCGCAGCGAGUGUAAAGGCACAAGGAGGCUUAACUGCGAGAGUGACAGCUCGAGCAGAUACGAAAGUAGGUCUUAAUGAUCUGGCGGUAGCGAGUGGAAGCGCCGUCACUUAACGGAUAAAAGGUACUCCGGGGAUAACAGGCUGAUAUUCCCCAAGAGUUCACAUCGACGGGAAUGUUUGGCACCUCGAUGUCGGCUCAUCGCAUCCUGGGGCUGAAGCAGGUCCCAAGGGUUUGGCUGUUCGCCAAUUAAAGCGGUACGUGAGCUGGGUUCAGAACGUCGCGAGACAGUUCGGUCCCUAUCUGCUAUGGGCGUUGGAUACGUGAGAGGAGCUGUUUUUAGUACGAGAGGACCGAAAUGGACGAACCUCUGGUGUACCGGUUAUCCUGCCAAGGGUAAUUGCCGGGUAGCUAUCGUUCGGAAGGGAUAACCGCUGAAGGCAUCUAAGUGGGAAGCCCGCCUCAAGACUACGUAUCCCUGAGGGUUUAACCCUCCUAAAGACUCCUUGCACACUACAAGGUUGAUAGGUUGGAGGUCUAAGCACAGUAAUGUGUUAAGCCGACCAAUACUAAUAAGUCGUGAGGCUUGACCAUAU
This 2991-nucleotide ribosomal RNA is filed under the name Treponema putidum. RNAcentral's name for it is "23S ribosomal RNA". It matches the Rfam family "Bacterial large subunit ribosomal RNA". The record is from RNAcentral. Lineage: Bacteria; Pseudomonadati; Spirochaetota; Spirochaetia; Treponematales; Treponemataceae.